Molecule: ribosomal RNA, 484 nt
Filed under: uncultured bacterium
Lineage: Bacteria
Description: partial 16S ribosomal RNA
Rfam family: Bacterial small subunit ribosomal RNA
Source: RNAcentral
AUUGAACGCUGGCGGCAGGCCUAACACAUGCAAGUCGAGCGGAUGAAGGGAGCUUGCUCCUGGAUUCAGCGGCGGACGGGCGAGUAAUGCCCAGGAAUCUGCCUGGUAGUGGGGGAUAACGUCCGGAAACGGGCGCUAAUACCGCAUACGUUCUGAGGGAGAAAGUGGGGGAUCUUCGGACCUCACGCUAUUAGAUGAGCCUAGGUCGGAUUAGCUAGUUGGUGGGGUAAAGGCCUACCAAGGCGACGAUCCGUAACUGGUCUGAGAGGAUGAUCAGUCACACUGGAACUGAGACACGGUCCAGACUCCUACGGGAGGCAGCAGUGGGGAAUAUUGGACAAUGGGCGAAAGCCUGAUCCAGCCAUGCCGCGUGUGUGAAGAAGGUCUUCGGAUUGUAAAGCACUUUAAGUUGGGAGGAAGGGCAGUAAGUUAAUACCUUGCUGUUUUGACGUUACCAACAGAAUAAGCACCGGCUAACUUCGUG